AUGAAGGCAAGGGGAGAGACUGUUUAACGGCGCCGAAGGAGCAAGCAACCUUUUUUGUGAAUCUCUCAGGCAAAAGAACUCUUGCUGGACG
Molecule: non-coding RNA, 91 nt
Filed under: Bacillus thermotolerans
Lineage: Bacteria; Bacillati; Bacillota; Bacilli; Caryophanales; Bacillaceae
Also listed under: 1 other name
Description: Quasibacillus thermotolerans Glycine riboswitch aptamer
Rfam family: Glycine riboswitch aptamer
About the family: This family represents the bacterial glycine riboswitch. Glycine riboswitches usually consist of two metabolite-binding aptamers domains with similar structures in tandem. The aptamers cooperatively bind glycine to regulate the expression of downstream genes.
Source: Rfam by way of RNAcentral